GACAGAGGGUGCAAACGUUGUUCGGAAUUACUGGGCGUAAAGCGCGUGUAGGCGGCUAUGUAAGUCGGGCGUGAAAUCCCACGGCUCAACCGUGGAAGUGCACCCGAAACUGCGUAGCUAGAGUCCUGGAGAGGAAGGUGGAAUGCUUGGUGUAGAGGUGAAAUUCGUAGAUAUCAAGCGGAACACCGGUGGCGAAGGCGGCAUCCUGGACCGGUAUUGACGCUGAGGCGCGAAAGCCAGGGGAGCAAACGGG
This 253-nucleotide ribosomal RNA is filed under the name uncultured bacterium. Its description in RNAcentral is "partial 16S ribosomal RNA". It matches the Rfam family "Bacterial small subunit ribosomal RNA", at positions 524 to 776 of the family's 1533-position model. The record is from RNAcentral.